Sarcophilus harrisii (Tasmanian devil) is the source of this 987-nucleotide long non-coding RNA. RefSeq lists it as uncharacterized. Lineage: Eukaryota; Metazoa; Chordata; Mammalia; Dasyuromorphia; Dasyuridae. The transcript has 3 exons. The record is from RefSeq and is a predicted model, not a curated record.
AAACAGAAACAACAAAAAAAGAGAAAUGAUUUAAAAAUAUUUUUAAGCUCUUCAAGAAAUUCUUUAUGAUCCUGAGAUUAACUGAAAUUGUUCCUUGAAGCUUCACAUGGUCACAGAGCCUGGCCAGUUGCCUGCUGCACUGAUAAGCUGAGGACUCUCAGGUGGCCUCUGGUUUGCUGUAUCAAGAUAUGGGUAUCAGUUGCUGAUCUAUGCUAGGCCUCAAGAUAUUCCAUUGACUUGCUAGCAUGUACGGCUGCUGCUGGCUUUCCUGGAUAUUUCCUGUACUGCACUAUGUUCCCCUUUUAACCAAUUUGUUUUUGAGGUGAUACUGCAUAGCUGUUUAAAGCUGAAUGUGGGAAAGUUCAGUUGAGUUCCUGCCACAUUGUCUCAAGCCCUACAGCUCCCCCAAAAGCUACAUUUCUAGUAGAAGAAAAAUGAUAUUUAAACUGUUUCCAAGACUUUUUAGCAGAGUUCUAUCUACCAGUCCAAAGAAAGUGACUUUAUCAGUCAUGUAGUUUAAUCACAUUUGUUCAUCUCCUCAUUCUGCUUUCUUAAACAGAAUAAAGAACAAUAAGUGAGAACUUAGAACUUUCCAAAUCAAUGAGUUUUAUUUUGUAACUUUUAAGUGAUUGGAAGAAGGAAGGAACUGAAAGAGAUAUUCAGCACAUUUAUAUGAUAAAAGUAAAUAUCACAUAAAAUGGAGUCAGGUUUUUUUUCUUAAAGUUAUACUUAUAAUAAUUAUUACCUUCUUGCUUUGUGAUAGCCCCAGUGAUAAGUGUAGGGGGACAUCAGUACAAAAGAUAUGAUUAUACUUCCAGAAUUAAAGAAGGAAAGAACUCAAGGAAAAUAUGACAUAAAAAUGGCCAGAGAUCAGCAGUUGAAGAGUCUGAGUUGGGUUAGUCAUGGGAAACUUUCUGCAAUCAGGAGAGUAGAGCCUCUGGGUAGGAUCUAGAAAGCCGAAUCUGAGGCAGGACAUUAAGUAUGAAG